RNAcentral lists this microRNA (23 nucleotides) under Monodelphis domestica (gray short-tailed opossum). Its description in RNAcentral is "Mdo-Mir-7371-P32_5p* (star (passenger))". The record is from RNAcentral. Lineage: Eukaryota; Metazoa; Chordata; Mammalia; Didelphimorphia; Didelphidae.
AUUUGCACAAGGUGCUCUAUUCU